CGAGCAUUAAGACCAUUCUUUGGAGGUGGUAGGGUUGAGUUGUGUACCCUGGGGUAACUCGGUCUUGAGGCGUGCACAUCCUUCCAUCCCCCGAGGGUUGUGCAGCCAAUAGUGUUCGUCCAGGAACGUUCCGUCUUCGGCUACUCUGGUUUAGUGCCCCUACAGUUAUCUCUGCCUCAGCCGCCGUCACAGAGUAAGGUUUCCCUAACGUACUUCGAGGAAAUGUGGGGAAGGUCCUGCCGUUCCAUUUCCUCAGACGGUGAGCUGUCUUCGUGUCGCUCAUCUACCAUGUCCAAAGUACGUGGUGGGUAAUAGUCUUCUUUGUCGGAAGAUUGUGGCGGAUGGGGUUUGGAUUCCCUAUUUGGUAUGUUCGAU
Molecule: non-coding RNA, 375 nt
Organism: Pelobates cultripes (western spadefoot toad)
Lineage: Eukaryota; Metazoa; Chordata; Amphibia; Anura; Pelobatidae
Source: the annotation of a GenBank genome assembly